AUUGAACGCUGGCGGCAGGCCUAACACAUGCAAGUCGAACGGUAGCACAGAGAGCUUGCUCUCGGGUGACGAGUGGCGGACGGGUGAGUAAUGUCUGGGAAACUGCCCGAUGGAGGGGGAUAACUACUGGAAACGGUAGCUAAUACCGCAUAACGUCGCAAGACCAGAGUGGGGGACCUUCGGGCCUCACACCAUCGGAUGUGCCCAGAUGGGAUUAGCUAGUAGGUGGGGUAAUGGCUCACCUAGGCGACGAUCCCUAUCUGGUCUGAGAGGAUGACCGGCCACACUGGAACUGAGCCACGGUCAGGACUCCUACGGGAGGCAGCAGGGGGGAAUAUUGCACAAGGGGCGCAAGCCUGAUGCAGCCAUGCCGCGUGUAUGAAGAAGGCCUUCGGGUUGUAAAGUACUUUCAGCGGGGAGGAAGGCGGUGGAGUUAAUAACUUCACCGAUUGACGUUACCCGCAGAAGAAGCACCGGCUAACUCCGUGCCAGCCGCCGCCGUAA
RNAcentral lists this ribosomal RNA (504 nucleotides) under uncultured bacterium. RNAcentral describes it as "partial 16S ribosomal RNA". It matches the Rfam family "Bacterial small subunit ribosomal RNA", at positions 29 to 523 of the family's 1533-position model. The record is from RNAcentral.